AUUCCAGCUCCAAUAGCGUAUAUUUAAGUUGUUGCAGUUAAAAAGCUCGUAGUUGGAUUUUGGGUCGGGGGCACCGGUCCGCCGUUCCGGUGUGCACUGGUGGCCCCUUCCUUUCUGCCGGGGACGUGCGUCGCACUUAAUUGGGUGGCGUUCGGAGUCGGCGUUGUUACUUUGAAAAAAUUAGAGUGUUCAAAGCAAGCCAUCGCUCUGAAUACAUUAGCAUGGAAUAACAUGAUAGGACUCCGGUCUUAUUUUGUUGGUUUCCGAGACUGGAGUAAUGAUUAAGAGGGACAGUCGGGGGCAUCCGUAUUUCAUUGUCAGAGGUGAAAUUCUUGGAUUUAUUGAAGACGGACUACUGCGAAAGCAUUUACCAAGGAUGUUUUCAUCA
Molecule: ribosomal RNA, 388 nt
Filed under: Prasinoderma sp.
Lineage: Eukaryota; Viridiplantae; Prasinodermophyta; Prasinodermophyceae; Prasinodermales; Prasinodermaceae
Description: partial small subunit ribosomal RNA
Rfam family: Eukaryotic small subunit ribosomal RNA
Source: RNAcentral